Molecule: long non-coding RNA, 465 nt
Organism: Oxyura jamaicensis (ruddy duck)
Lineage: Eukaryota; Metazoa; Chordata; Aves; Anseriformes; Anatidae
Exons: 4
Source: RefSeq, a predicted model, not a curated record
GUAAAAGUAUAAAGGCAAAAGGGGGAACACUGAAAAGCAUAAAGGGGAUAGGGAGCCAACAAGUGGAAAAGAGAACAUGAAAGGAAGAGCCAUUCAGCAGGAAGACCACCUCAGUCAGGUACAAAACUCUUGGAGAGUUGGAGUCUUAGGAGAUUGCAAUAAGAUGAGGAACUGACAAAAACCAGCCCAUUUUCCACUCAGACUUGAGUGCCAGUAGCAUGUGGUCUGUGUGCAGUGAUGGAGAGGGAUGUCAUAUGGCACAGGUUAUACCAGUGACAAAAAAAAAAAAUAAUAAAAAAAAUGGCAACCAAGUCCGAAGGAGCUGGCUAGAUUAGAUAACUGAGACCCCUGGGAGCACACAGCAGAUUUAAAAUCGCCAGGGUUAAGGAUGAGGAAAUGCAAAGGGAUGAGUGUUCAUUUGUUCUAUCUAUGCCAGGGGAGAGGGCAAAAACAAAGGCAGAGAAA